GACGAACGCUGGCGGCGUGCUUAACACAUGCAAGUCGAACGGAAAGGCCCUGCUUUUGUGGGGUGCUCGAGUGGCGAACGGGUGAGUAACACGUGAGUAACCUGCCCUUGACUUUGGGAUAACUUCAGGAAACUGGGGCUAAUACCGGAUAGGAGCUCCUGCUGCAUGGUGGGGGUUGGAAAGGUUCGGCGGUUGGGGAUGGACGCGCGGCUUAUGAGCUUGUUGGUGGGGUAGUGGCUUACCAAGGCUUUGACGGGUCGCCGGCCUGAGAGGGUGACCGGCCACAUUGGGACUGAGAUACGGCCCAGACUCCUACGGGAGGCAGCAGUGGGGAAUAUUGCACAAUGGGCCGAAGCCUGAUGCAGCAACGCCGCGUGCGGGAUGACGGCCUUCGGGUUGUAAACCGCUUUCGCCUGUGACGAAGCGUGAGUGACGGUAAUGGGUAAAGAAGCACCGGCUAACUACGUG
RNAcentral lists this ribosomal RNA (468 nucleotides) under uncultured bacterium. Its description in RNAcentral is "partial 16S ribosomal RNA". It matches the Rfam family "Bacterial small subunit ribosomal RNA", at positions 28 to 507 of the family's 1533-position model. The record is from RNAcentral.